GGACAAACACUAAGGAAACGCCAAAAGUCGUAAAGAGAUGCUCCCAACAUUUCCAACUAUACGAGCAAUGAAAAAAUAGACGAGCUUGACCUUCCCUGUCCCUUAAGCAUAAAAAACAAACUGAGAGACUUACAAACUUAUUUGAUGUCGUCUUCAAAUCUUGGACCAGGAAAUCGAUAGAGUUACACACGCAAUGUCGAUAGAAUAGAAAGCACUCAACCGGAAGAGACUGAUCAAACAACACAGAGUUCUGGCACAACUAAA
Molecule: non-coding RNA, 264 nt
Organism: Momordica charantia (bitter melon)
Lineage: Eukaryota; Viridiplantae; Streptophyta; Magnoliopsida; Cucurbitales; Cucurbitaceae
Source: RefSeq, a predicted model, not a curated record